Molecule: ribosomal RNA, 992 nt
Filed under: uncultured bacterium
Lineage: Bacteria
Description: bacterial SSU rRNA
Rfam family: Bacterial small subunit ribosomal RNA
Source: RNAcentral
UACGUGUAGAGUGAUGAGAGUACCUUACGAAUAAGCAUCGGCUAACUCCGUGCCCAGCAGCCGCGGUAAUACGGGGGAUGCAAGCGUUAUCCGGGAUUUAUUGGGUUUAAAGGGUGCGUAGGCGGUGAAUUAAGUCAGCGGUGAAAUUUAGGGGCUCAACCUCUACCGUGCCGUUGAUACUGGUUCGCUGGAAUGCGGAUGCCGUGGGAGGAAUGUGUGGUGUAGCGGUGAAAUGCAUAGAUAUCACACAGAACACCGAUUGCGAAGGCAUCUCACGAAUCCGCGAUUGACGCUGAGGCACGAAAGCGUGGGGAUCAAACAGGAUUAGAUACCCUGGUAGUCCACGCUGUAAACGAUGAUGACUAACCGUCGGCGAUACACAGUCGGUGGCCAAGCGAAAGCGAUAAGUCAUCCACCUGGGGAGUACGACCGCAAGGUUGAAACUCAAAGGAAUUGACGGGGGCCCGCACAAGCGGAGGAACAUGUGGUUUAAUUCGAUGAUACGCGAGGAACCUUACCCGGGCUCGAACGGCAGGGGAAUGAAUCAGAGAUGGUUCAGUCUUCGGACUCCUGUCGAGGUGCUGCAUGGUUGUCGUCAGCUCGUGCUGUGAAGUGUCGGCUUAAGUGCCAUAACGAGCGCAACCCUUGCCAUUAGUUGCCAUCAGGUAAAGCUGGGGACUCUAGUGGGACUGCCACCGCAAGGUGUGAGGAAGGGGGGGAUGACGUCAAAUCAGCACGGCCCUUACGUCCGGGGCGACACACGUGUUACAAUGGCGAGUACAGAGGGAAGCUACCUGGCGACAGGAUGCAGAUCUCGAAAGCUCGUCCCAGUUCGGAUUGGAGUCUGCAACCCGACUCCAUGAAGUUGGAUUCGCUAGUAAUCGCGCAUCAGCCAUGGCGCGGUGAAUACGUUCCCGGGCCUUAUACACACCGCCCGUCAAGCCAUGGAAGCUGGGGGUGCCUGAAGUACGUGACCGCAAGGAGCGUCCUAG